This 631-nucleotide ribosomal RNA is filed under the name Micrococcus sp. RNAcentral's name for it is "bacterial SSU rRNA". It matches the Rfam family "Bacterial small subunit ribosomal RNA", at positions 46 to 690 of the family's 1533-position model. The record is from RNAcentral. Lineage: Bacteria; Bacillati; Actinomycetota; Actinomycetes; Micrococcales; Micrococcaceae.
GCUUAACACAUGCAAGUCGAACGAUGAAGCCCAGCUUGCUGGGUGGAUUAGUGGCGAACGGGUGAGUAACACGUGAGUAACCUGCCCUUAACUCUGGGAUAAGCCUGGGAAACUGGGUCUAAUACCGGAUAGGAGCGUCCACCGCAUGGUGGGUGUUGGAAAGAUUUAUCGGUUUUGGAUGGACUCGCGGCCUAUCAGCUUGUUGGUGAGGUAAUGGCUCACCAAGGCGACGACGGGUAGCCGGCCUGAGAGGGUGACCGGCCACACUGGGACUGAGACACGGCCCAGACUCCUACGGGAGGCAGCAGUGGGGAAUAUUGCACAAUGGGCGAAAGCCUGAUGCAGCGACGCCGCGUGAGGGAUGACGGCCUUCGGGUUGUAAACCUCUUUCAGUAGGGAAGAAGCGAAAGUGACGGUACCUACAGAAGAAGCACCGGCUAACUACGUGCCAGCAGCCGCGGUAAUACGUAGGGUGCGAGCGUUAUCCGGAAUUAUUGGGCGUAAAGAGCUCGUAGGCGGUUUGUCGCGUCUGUCGUGAAAGUCCGGGGCUUAACCCCGGAUCUGCGGUGGGUACGGGCAGACUAGAGUGCAGUAGGGGAGACUGGAAUUCCUGGUGUAGCGGUGAAAUGCG